Pteropus alecto (black flying fox) is the source of this 1382-nucleotide long non-coding RNA. RefSeq lists it as uncharacterized. The record is from RefSeq and is a predicted model, not a curated record. NCBI's taxonomy places the organism in Eukaryota, Metazoa, Chordata, Mammalia, Chiroptera, Pteropodidae. The transcript has 3 exons.
CCUAGUUUCCUCACUGUAAAAUAGAAAUAAUAGCAGUACCUAUCUUACAGAGUUGUGCAGAUUACCUUCUAAUAAAAUUGGUAUCUUCUACAAAUCAGCAAAAAUAAGUUUAAUUAUCUGUGCCGAAAUUCAGUUCAACAAAUAUUAAGUGACUUAUGUGGUUCUGGAAAUGACCAUAUGGCCUUUGCCCUCAAGAAACGUACAACCUAAGUGUUAUAAGACAUAAACGAAUAAGGAAGGAAACAUAUUAACACUGUAAGUGGUGCAGAUAAGAUCAGGGAAAGGCUUUAUGAACAAAGUGGCAUCUGAGAUGAACUUAUCCGGCAGUUAGUGGGGAGGAUAUUCUAAGCAGAGGCAAUGGUUUGAGCCACUGGCAUUUGGAGGCAGAAAAUGAAGGCAGACUUGAAGAAUGUUUAAAAAGUUCAUCCGCACUUAAACACCCUGGAAAUCCCCUCUGCUUUACAACCAACUAGGAACUGGCUCCAAAGUACCAACACAGUGCCUAACGUUCCUCCUUCCUUGGAAGCAGACACUCAGAGUAUGCACAUGUACAGUCCUCAGAGAUGCUGUGAGGAUGCUUAAGGAGCCUGGAUUAGCCAUCAGCGGAUCUGGGUUUGCAUCUUCUCUGCUGGGCCAUCCAUUAGCUUAUAUGACUUUGAUCAAGUCACCUCACUUUUCCAGGCCUCAAGUUCCUGAGGUAUAAAGUGGGGAUACUUACUUCAAAGGGCUAUUGUAAGAACUCAGAAUUAAGAGAUUUGAUUACAAAAAGACUAUAGUACAAAAGUCUCUAUAUAUGCUUUGGGUAAGUAAUAAUAAUGGUACAAGUUUUACCAACAGUUUGUCAUUAUUUAUAACUCUUUGGGUUUUAAAACGGAUACCAGGAAAAUAACUUUCUCUGCUUCCUGUUCCUGACUCAGAAAUGGGAGCCUGUGUUCAUACAGAGGUAGAGUAGAUGGAUUCCUAUAAGUACCAAUAACCUAACUGCCUCCAUAUAUGUAAGAAAAGCAUGUCCAUCCCCUUUAGAAGGGCUUUAGAUUGAGACCAGAUGAAUUGCCCUUGCAGUACACACAUAUUCAUAAAGCGAGUGUUCUCUGCCAGACACUGCCUGCCAUGGAGCUUUGUAGAUUACUUUACCUUUACAAUGUGCAUAUAUCUUCUAAUUCUAUCCUCAAAACAAUCCUGUGAGAAAACUGAGAUGGAAAGGGAAAGAAGAUCAAGUUAAUGACUACAGAAAAAACACAGAACCUCUAUUUCCAGUUCCUACUUAACUCAUUACUUCAUUGAGAUGAAUGAGCUAUUUGUUUACGAAGCAGAAGAAACAAUGAUUUAUUAGUUGUAUCUGCAAAAGCCAUCAAAACUUAUAAUUUCUCAAAGCAAUGAAG